CCUACGGGUGGCAGCAGUAGGGAAUCUUCCACAAUGGGCGCAAGCCUGAUGGAGCAACGCCGCGUGGGUGAAGAAGGUCUUCGGAUCGUAAAACACUGUUGUUAGAGAAGAAAGUGUGUGAGAGUAUCUGUUCACGAUUCGACGGUAUCUACCCAGUAAGCCACGGCUAACUCAGUGCCAGCAGCCGCGGUAAUACGUAGGUGGCAAGCGUUAUCCGGAUUUAUUGGGCGUAAAGGGAACGCAGGCGGUUUUUUAAGUCUGAUGUGAAAUCCUUGGGCUUAACCGGAGUAGUGCAUUGGAAACUGGGAGACUUGAGUGCAGUAGAGGAGGGGUGAACUCCAUGUGUAGCGGUGAAAUGCGUAGAUAUAUGGAAGAACACCAGUGGCGAAGGCGGCUCCCUGG
Molecule: ribosomal RNA, 402 nt
Filed under: uncultured bacterium
Lineage: Bacteria
Description: partial 16S ribosomal RNA
Rfam family: Bacterial small subunit ribosomal RNA
Source: RNAcentral